UACGUAGGUGGCAAGCGUUGUCCGGAUUUACUGGGCGUAAAGGGCGUGCAGGCGGUCUGUUAAGUCUAGGGUGAAAGCUCCCGGCUCAACUGGGAGAGGGCCUUGGAUACUGGCAGACUUGAGGAGAGUAGAGGAGAGUGGAAUUCCCGGUGUAGCAGUGAAAUGCGUAGAGAUCGGGAGGAACAUCAGUUGCGAAGGCGGCUCUCUGGACCAGUACUGACGCUGAGGCACGAAAGCGUGGGGAGCAAACAGG
This 253-nucleotide ribosomal RNA is filed under the name uncultured bacterium. RNAcentral's name for it is "partial 16S ribosomal RNA". It matches the Rfam family "Bacterial small subunit ribosomal RNA", at positions 524 to 776 of the family's 1533-position model. The record is from RNAcentral.